AAGACCUUGCGCUUUUGGAGCGGCCGAUGCCUGAUUAGCUUGUUGGUAAGGUAAAAGCUUACCAAGGCUUCGAUCAGUAGCUGGUCUGAGAGGACGACCAGCCACACUGGGACUGAGACACGGCCCAGACUCCUACGGGAGGCAGCAGUGGGGAAUUUUGGACAAUGGGGGCAACCCUGAUCCAGCCAUGCCGCGUGAGUGAAGAAGGCCUUCGGGUUGUAAAGCUCUUUCAGCCGGAAMGAAACGGUURCGGUUAACACCCGUGACUACUGACGGUACCGGAAGAAGAAGCACCGGCUAACUACGUGCCAGCAGCCGCGGUAAUACGUAGGGUGCGAGCGUUAAUCGGAAUUACUGGGCGUAAAGGGUGCGCAGGUGGUUUUGUAAGUCAGAUGUGAAAGCCCCGGGCUCAACCUGGGAACU
RNAcentral lists this ribosomal RNA (423 nucleotides) under uncultured bacterium. RNAcentral describes it as "bacterial SSU rRNA". It matches the Rfam family "Bacterial small subunit ribosomal RNA", at positions 207 to 622 of the family's 1533-position model. The record is from RNAcentral.